ACUUCUUCUGACUCAGUGAGCUGUGUAGAGAGUGAGAUGAUAAAGUGAUCUUACUAUCUGAUCAUUAAGGAAACAUUCAGUGAGAUGUGUAGAGAGUGAGAUGAUAAAGGUAUCUUACUAUCUGAUCAUUAAGGAAACAUUCAGUAAGAUGUGUAGAGAGUGAAAUGAUAAAGGUAUCUUACUAUCUGAUCAUUAAGGAAACAUGCUAUGUUGAAGUGCUGGCUUCUCUGACAACAAUGCAGCAGCCAGUAUGUCCUCCUUCUAACUUUAGAUUCUGCUCCUGAAUGAUCUGGAUUUGUUUGGACCAGAGAAGGUAGGCGGUUUUAAGGCGAACCCCCCCACACGGCCGUUUUGGACGCCCCUCUGUUUGUCAGAUAUGAGAGCAGUUAUCAGGUCAACAGGUGUUGCAGCGAUGGAAGCGGGCAAGAGAAGUGGUUCAGAUAGAAGUGAUUGUACCCGACCUAAAAAGCCUCUGCAUGUUUCUAAUAAGCUCCACGAGCAGAAA
Long non-coding RNA from Labrus mixtus (cuckoo wrasse), 505 nucleotides. RefSeq lists it as uncharacterized. The transcript is spliced from 3 exons. NCBI's taxonomy places the organism in Eukaryota, Metazoa, Chordata, Actinopteri, Labriformes, Labridae. The record is from RefSeq and is a predicted model, not a curated record.